RNAcentral lists this long non-coding RNA (714 nucleotides) under Medicago truncatula (barrel medic). Its description in RNAcentral is "lncRNA gene16030". The record is from RNAcentral. Lineage: Eukaryota; Viridiplantae; Streptophyta; Magnoliopsida; Fabales; Fabaceae.
UGUUUUUGAACUUGAUCCAAAAGGUUGCCAACUGACAUAUUUUGAUCGGGAGACCAACUGGAUCGAUUUUAUAAGAACCUCUUCGGAAUUAGAUCUGCAACACAACGAUGAAAGACAAGGUGUUUCAAGAGGAUUAUUUUGAGUUAGAUCCUGCUGCCUUGCCAACUGAGAUAUUUAUAUGCCAAGGAAGCAAGAUCUAGCUCAUGGCAACCUCUUGGUAUUCAAAUAGAGAGCAACCUCUUGGUAUUCAAAUAAAGAUUUAUAACCUCUUUGUAUCUAUCUAUCUAUCUAUCUAUCUAUCUAUAUAGUUUCUACAACAUGCUGACGUUCUUCAUCAUGCAGUCAAAUAGAGAGCUAUCUAUCAAAUAGAUCUGACCAACGAAGCAUCCAACUUGAUUGUCCCUCUUGUACUAUACUGACAAAAGAUCGAGAACAUGGUUCUCACGUCGUCGUCGUUCAUGAGCUUCAUCCGACUGAACCGCACACUUCUAACUGAGUCGGUCGAUAGACGUCGAUACUCAACACCAUACACUCUCUGUGUGUCUCUGUAGUUGAGUUGGAUGUAGAUUUAAUCCAUUUGAGCUUUCAACCCAGAGAGGGUGACAUCAGUGCGAAUCCUGAACAGAUGGGGUGAUUUCCCCUAUUGUAUUAAACUGCAGCUAACUUGGUGUUUGGAUCAAAGACAAAGUUUUUCAAUUUUUUUAUGUGUGGUUU